RNAcentral lists this microRNA (22 nucleotides) under Oreochromis niloticus (Nile tilapia). RNAcentral's name for it is "oni-miR-10667". The record is from miRBase by way of RNAcentral. Lineage: Eukaryota; Metazoa; Chordata; Actinopteri; Cichliformes; Cichlidae.
UGAGGAUUGCGGCUCGUGUGCA